This 522-nucleotide ribosomal RNA is filed under the name uncultured bacterium. Its description in RNAcentral is "bacterial SSU rRNA". It matches the Rfam family "Bacterial small subunit ribosomal RNA", at positions 987 to 1509 of the family's 1533-position model. The record is from RNAcentral.
UCCAGAGAACUUAGCAGAGAUGCUUUGGUGCCUUCGGGAACUCUGAGACAGGUGCUGCAUGGCUGUCGUCAGCUCGUGUUGUGAAAUGUUGGGUUAAGUCCCGCAACGAGCGCAACCCUUAUCCUUUGUUGCCAGCGGUUCGGCCGGGAACUCAAAGGAGACUGCCGGUGAUAAACCGGAGGAAGGUGGGGAUGACGUCAAGUCAUCAUGGCCCUUACGGCCAGGGCUACACACGUGCUACAAUGGCGCAUACAAAGAGAAGCGACCUCGCGAGAGCAAGCGGACCUCAUAAAGUGCGUCGUAGUCCGGAUUGGAGUCUGCAACUCGACUCCAUGAAGUCGGAAUCGCUAGUAAUCGUAGAUCAGAAUGCUACGGUGAAUACGUUCCCGGGCCUUGUACACACCGCCCGUCACACCAUGGGAGUGGGUUGCAAAAGAAGUAGGUAGCUUAACCUUCGGGAGGGCGCUUACCACUUUGUGAUUCAUGACUGGGGUGAAGUCGUAACAAGGUAGGCGUAGCGAG